This 533-nucleotide ribosomal RNA is filed under the name bacterium HPC776. RNAcentral describes it as "bacterial SSU rRNA". It matches the Rfam family "Bacterial small subunit ribosomal RNA", at positions 920 to 1453 of the family's 1533-position model. The record is from RNAcentral.
CCCGCACAAGCGGUGGAGCAUGUGUUUAAUUUCGAUGCAACGCGAAGAACCUUACUUACUCUUGACAUCCAAAGAACUUACCAGAGAUGGAUUGGUGCCUUCGGGAACUCUGAGACAGGUGCUGCAUGGCUGUCGUCAGCUCGUGUUGUGAAAUGUUGGGUUAAGUCCCGCAACGAGCGCAACCCUUAUCCUUUGUUGCCAGCGGUCCGGCCGGGAACUCAAAGGAGACUGCCAGUGAUAAACUGGAGGAAGGUGGGGAUGACGUCAAGUCAUCAUGGCCCUUACGAGUAGGGCUACACACGUGCUACAAUGGCGCAUACAAAGAGAAGCGACCUCGCGAGAGCAAGCGGACCUCAUAAAGUGCGUCGUAGUCCGGAUUGGAGUCUGCAACUCGACUCCAUGAAGUCGGAAUCGCUAGUAAUCGUAGAUCAGAAUGCUACGGUGAAUACGUUCCCGGGCCUUGUACACACCGCCCGUCACACCAUGGGAGUGGGUUGCUAAAGAAGUAGGUAGCUUAACUUUAGGGUGGGCGC